GAGUGAAGGUGAAGGAAAGUAUGGAAGUGCCGUGCGGGAGGAGAGGGAAAAAGAUGAGAGCAAAUUCGACUUUUUACUUAGCUUAUGGAGGUGUCGAAAGAAAACAUGGGAUGUAGGAAGAAAUUUCCUUUCCAGUGCCAUAAAGAUUUGAAAUGCCACCCAAGUAAAGAAUGAGCCCAAAAGAAAAUGCCACUUGAAUAAAUGCUCCGCUGUUAGCCUUAUGGGACUUCUAAAGUUCCUAGUAAGAUUUUAGAAU
RNAcentral lists this long non-coding RNA (256 nucleotides) under Vigna radiata. RNAcentral describes it as "long non-coding RNA (VRAD_LNC008934)". Lineage: Eukaryota; Viridiplantae; Streptophyta; Magnoliopsida; Fabales; Fabaceae. The record is from RNAcentral.